CUUGGUCAUUUAGAGGAAGUAAAAGUCGUAACAAGGUUUCCGUAGGUGAACCUGCGGAAGGAUCAUUAAAGAAUUGCCCCAUUUUUUGAAAUGGGUUCUAUUCCCAAACCGUGUAUACAUACCUUUGUUGCUUUGGCAAGCCGUCCUUCGGGCGCAGCUUCGGCUGAGAGCGCUUGCCAGAGGACCCCAACUCUUUUGUUUAGUGAUGUCUGAGUACUAUAUAAUAGUUAAAACUUUCAACAACGGAUCUCUUGGUUCUGGCAUCGAUGAAGAACGCAGCGAAAUGCGAUAAGUAAUGUGAAUUGCAGAAUUCAGUGAAUCAUCGAAUCUUUGAACGCACAUUGCGCCCCUUGGUAUUCCGAGGGGCAUGCCUGUUCGAGCGUCAUUAUAACCAUUCAAGCCUUGGCUUGGUAUUGGGGUUUCGCGGUUCUGCGGCCCUUAAAAUCAGUGGCGGUGCCGUCUGGCUCUAAGCGUAGUAAUUCUCUCGCUAUAGGGUCCCGGCGGUGGCUUGCCAAAACCCCUUUAUUUUCCUACGGUUGACCUCGGAUCAGGUAGGGAUACCCGCUGAACUUAAGCAUAUCAAUAAGCGGAGGA
Molecule: ribosomal RNA, 594 nt
Filed under: uncultured Rhizoscyphus
Lineage: Eukaryota; Fungi; Ascomycota; Leotiomycetes; Helotiales; Helotiaceae
Description: eukaryotic LSU rRNA
Rfam family: 5.8S ribosomal RNA (bases 232-385)
Source: RNAcentral